UACCCGCGUCGGACUACGUCGUACGGCGCACUCACUACUUCCGGAAGCCCAACAUUUGGAGAAAGCAGGCCCUGCUAUUACUGCCAUGGCCAGCUUCUUCGGGGCCGAUUGAGGCACGGUCGUCGGCGCCAUAUAU
RNAcentral lists this ribosomal RNA (136 nucleotides) under uncultured marine alpha proteobacterium. RNAcentral describes it as "partial 16S ribosomal RNA". The record is from RNAcentral. Lineage: Bacteria; Pseudomonadati; Pseudomonadota; Alphaproteobacteria.